UUUUUGUUGGCAGAUUAGUGUGUUAAAUUUAGGAUUUAAAAAUGUAUUUUAUACAC
This 56-nucleotide transfer RNA is filed under the name Ramazzottius varieornatus. RNAcentral describes it as "tRNA-Leu". Lineage: Eukaryota; Metazoa; Tardigrada; Eutardigrada; Parachela; Ramazzottiidae. The record is from RNAcentral.